RNAcentral lists this unclassified non-coding RNA (343 nucleotides) under soil metagenome. Its description in RNAcentral is "partial contains 5.8S ribosomal RNA, internal transcribed spacer 2, and large subunit ribosomal RNA". The stretch from base 1 to 120 matches the Rfam family "5.8S ribosomal RNA", at positions 35 to 154 of the family's 154-position model. The record is from RNAcentral.
GAUGAAGAACGUAGCGAAAUGCGAUAAGUAAUGUGAAUUGCAGAAUUCAGUGAAUCAUCGAAUCUUUGAACGCACAUUGCGCCCGCCAGCAUUCUGGCGGGCAUGCCUGUUCGAGCGUCAUUUCAACCCUCGAGCCCCCCCGGGGGCCUCGGUGUUGGGGGACGGCACACCAGCCGCCCUCGAAAUGCAGUGGCGACCCCGCCGCAGCCUCCCCUGCGUAGUAGCACACACCUCGCACCGGAGCGCGGAGGCGGUCACGCCGUAAAACGCCCAACUUUCUUAGAGUUGACCUCGGAUCAGGUAGGAAUACCCGCUGAACUUAAGCAUAUCAAUAAGCGGAGGA